This 554-nucleotide ribosomal RNA is filed under the name uncultured Geobacteraceae bacterium. Its description in RNAcentral is "bacterial SSU rRNA". It matches the Rfam family "Bacterial small subunit ribosomal RNA", at positions 1 to 526 of the family's 1533-position model. Lineage: Bacteria; Pseudomonadati; Thermodesulfobacteriota; Desulfuromonadia; Geobacterales; Geobacteraceae. The record is from RNAcentral.
MSCAWKWCGCCCUUAGAGUUUGAUCCUGGCUCAGAACGAACGCUGGCGGCGUGCUUAACACAUGCAAGUCGAACGUGAUCCAGAGCUUGCUCUGGUGAAAGUGGCGCACGGGUGAGUAACGCGUGGAUAACCUGCCCUGGUAUCUGGGAUAACAUCUCGAAAGGGGUGCUAAUACCGGAUAAGCCUACGGACUCUUCGGAGUCUGCAGGAAAAGGUGGCCUCUAUUUAUAAGCUACCGUAUCAGGAUGAGUCCGCGUGCCAUUAGCUAGUUGGUGGGGUAAUGGCCCACCAAGGCUACGAUGGUUAGCUGGUCUGAGAGGAUGAUCASCCACACUGGAACUGAGACACGGUCCAGACUCCUACGGGAGGCAGCAGUGGGGAAUUUUGCGCAAUGGGGGAAACCCUGACGCAGCAACGCCGCGUGAGUGAUGAAGGCUUUCGGGUCGUAAAGCUCUGUCAGAGGGGAAGAAAUGAGACUGGCUAAUAUCCAGUUUUCUUGACGGUACCCUCAAAGGAAGCACCGGCUAACUCCGUGCCAGCAGCCGCGGUAAUAC